Molecule: ribosomal RNA, 448 nt
Filed under: uncultured bacterium
Lineage: Bacteria
Description: partial 16S ribosomal RNA
Rfam family: Bacterial small subunit ribosomal RNA
Source: RNAcentral
UGUCCAGACUCCUACGGGAGGCAGCAGUGGGGAAUAUUGCACAAUGGGGGGAACCCUGAUGCAGCGACGCCGCGUGGGUGAAGGAGCACCUCGGUGCGUAAAGCCCUAUCGGCAGGGAAGAAACAGACGGUACCUGACUAAGAAGCCCCGACUAACUACGUGCCAGCAGCCGCGGUAAUACGUAGGGGGCAAGCGUUAUCCGGAUUCACUGGGUGUAAAGGGAGCGUAGACGGCGACGCAAGUCUGGAGUGAAAGCCCACGGCCCAACCGUGGGACUGCUCUGGAAACUGUGCGGCUUGAGUGCGGGAGGGGCAGGCGGAAUUCCUAGUGUAGCGGUGAAAUGCGUAGAUAUUAGGAGGAACACCGGCGGCGAAGGCGGCCUGCUGGACCGUAACUGACGUUGAGGCUCGAAAGCGUGGGGAGCAAACAGGAUUAGAUACCCUAGUAU